This 1740-nucleotide long non-coding RNA is filed under the name Citrus x clementina. Its description in RNAcentral is "Citrus clementina (C. clementina) long non-coding RNA (CCLE_LNC006693)". Lineage: Eukaryota; Viridiplantae; Streptophyta; Magnoliopsida; Sapindales; Rutaceae. The record is from RNAcentral.
AAUAAAUUUUAUCAUUUCAAUUAGAUGGCACUACAAAUAUGUGUGCAGGAUUAUUAUUUAUUUAUGAUUUUGCAUAAAUGUAGAUGAGAUGUGAGGUAUAAAAAUUGCAUCUAGAAGUGUAAGAAAAUUAAGCACACUCACUCACGUUGACAAAAUAAAUUUGGGAUUCUUUUUCCUUUUUUUUAUAUAUACUUUUUGGGACCAUAAUUUAAAAUCGGAAUAGGGUCAAGGUCCAUGAACUUCAUCCUUUUUUUUUUUGGCUUGUUUAUAAUAGGCAAAUGCAACAAAAUAAAUAUAAAUGAAUAAAAAGUCAACGACAGGUUUAGAAUAUCAAAUUUCAAAUGUGAAACGGUUCGCAUUAAAAUUGACGGUGGUUCGGCAGUUCAUCUUCAUCUUACAACGCAAGAGACACAUUUAUUUUCAGGGAACCCACAAAAUUGAAUAUGAAGCCGACACGUCACGUUACUUUGAAUUCUUUUAUCUUCAUUGCAUAUUCUUUUCCCAUUUUCCUUGGUUAUAUAGAUUAUUAUUAUUUUUUUAAAAAAGUCCCCUUAGAAUUUUUGUUUAAUUAGUAUCGUUAUUAUGAUGAAAAACAAACCUUGACUAAGAAUAAUAGCAUUUUUAACGAUGGCAAGUUAAUAGAUUGUUAUUUUCAUAAAGUUCAAGUUUCAUAUAGUGUUUAUCUAAUAUGUAACUAAUCAUUUACCGUUAUAUAUAUGUAUAAUAUUAAUUGAUGUUAUUAUCAAUUAUUAUUUUAUUAUUAUUACAGCCUAUUUAAUUGAUGACACAAAAAAUACCGCAUCAUUGAAUAUUUUAGUUGAGUAUUUAAAAUACAUAAGUAUAAUCUUACCGAUUUAAAAAUUUUUUAGAAAGUACUAACAACAACAAGUGGCGAGGAUAGGAAAAAAAAAACAAUUCAUCAUCUUUUUACAACGAUUUAUCUCAAAAUUAUGAAUCAACAGAUUAACCAUAUUUAAGUAUCAUAGAAUGUGUUGAUAAUUUUUUAUUCUAUUAGACUAGAAUCAAAUCUCCCAAAUUUAAAAAUAAGUUAAUUAUGUUUUGAAUUUAUACUAUAAAUUUAUUUAUUUUUAAAAAAAAAUUUCCUUCAGUAAUGUUUUGAACCAGUAGAUUUGUCUUUUGAAUUAUAUGCAUCCGCAGGAUCAAUUUGUAAAAACCGAGGGAAUAUACAGGAACAAACUACAGAAUAUUACCCCAUUCAUAAUAAUAAUACGAAUGUGACUUCAAAACAAUAACCAGUGAUCAGAUCAACGGUUUAAAUACACCUGAUGGUAGCGUAAUGAUUGGGUAAUUGAUAACGUCAUUAUUCAGACCUCGGCUCAAUACAAAAUGUUCUAUGAGGGAAUUAUUACAUCUAUAACACUCGGAUUAAAAGUUAUGUCUGCAUAGAUUUAAAAAUGCCGCCUGUCAAAAUGAUGAAGGUUGACAUUUUGGUAAAUGAAGGGGAAAAAAAAAACUCUUGUGAAUAAUGAUUUAAUUUAAAGAGUGGUGAUUAGGGAUGGCCAACGGGCCAUGCCGUGCCGGCCCAGGCCCAUCAACGGAAGCCCACGCGUACUCGUGCUCGUGUCGUGCCGUGCCCACUAUUUAUUUCGUGCCGUGCCCACAUGUGAUCGCGUUCAUGCCCACUCGUGCCGUUUCGUGCCUAGGAAAAAUAGCCCACUAAUUUUUAUUUAUUUAUUUUUUAAGAGCGCAUGUCAAGUUGUCAUAUUUUUUUCAAUCUUA